Molecule: ribosomal RNA, 274 nt
Filed under: uncultured bacterium
Lineage: Bacteria
Description: partial 16S ribosomal RNA
Rfam family: Bacterial small subunit ribosomal RNA
Source: RNAcentral
CUACGAAAGGUGCAAGCGUUGUUCGGAUUUACUGGGCGUAAAGAGAGUGUAGGUUGUUUAUUAAGUCGGAUGUGAAAUCCCGGGGCUCAACCUCGGAACUGCAUUCGAUACUGGUAGACUAGAGUUCGGGAGGGGUAAGCGGAAUUCCGUGUGUAGCAGUGAAAUGCGUAGAUAUACGGAGGAACACCUGAGGCGAAGGCGGCUUACUGGACCGAUACUGACACUGAGACUCGAAAGCGUGGGUAGCAAACAGGAUUAGAAACCCUAGUAGUCC